GAAACCAACAGGGAUUGCCUUAGUAACGGCGAGUGAAGCGGCAAAAGCUCAAAUUUGAAAUCUGGCACCUUCGGUGUCCGAGUUGUAAUUUGAAGAAGGUAACUUUGGAGUUGGCUCUUGUCUAUGUUCCUUGGAACAGGACGUCACAGAGGGUGAGAAUCCCGUGCGAUGAGAUGCCCAAUUCUAUGUAAAGUGCUUUCGAAGAGUCGAGUUGUUUGGGAAUGCAGCUCUAAGUGGGUGGUAAAUUCCAUCUAAAGCUAAAUAUUGGCGAGAGACCGAUAGCGAACAAGUACAGUGAUGGAAAGAUGAAAAGAACUUUGAAAAGAGAGUGAAAAAGUACGUGAAAUUGUUGAAAGGGAAGGGCUUGAGAUCAGACUUGGUAUUUUGCGAUCCUUUCCUUCUUGGUUGGGUUCCUCGCAGCUUACUGGGCCAGCAUCGGUUUGGAUGGUAGGAUAAUGACUAAGGAAUGUGGCUCUACUUCGGUGGAGUGUUAUAGCCUUGGUUGAUACUGCC
Molecule: ribosomal RNA, 513 nt
Filed under: Debaryomyces hansenii
Lineage: Eukaryota; Fungi; Ascomycota; Pichiomycetes; Serinales; Debaryomycetaceae
Description: eukaryotic LSU rRNA
Rfam family: Eukaryotic large subunit ribosomal RNA
Source: RNAcentral